This is a long non-coding RNA of Lotus japonicus, 1629 nucleotides long. RefSeq lists it as uncharacterized. The transcript has 5 exons. The record is from RefSeq and is a predicted model, not a curated record. NCBI's taxonomy places the organism in Eukaryota, Viridiplantae, Streptophyta, Magnoliopsida, Fabales, Fabaceae.
UGACAAGGGAUCUCCCUAUCAAAGAUCCUUCUCAAUUUUGAAAAAAUUCAGUUUGAGAACCAUUGACAAGAGCAUCAACUGAACCCGUAGAAACACACUCCUCAAUCCAUGAGAUAAAAUACCCACUAGAUGUUAUCAUAAGCCUUGGCGAAAUCCAGCUUUAAUAGCAAGUCAUCCUCCCCUCUCUUUCCCAUUGCAUGAACAAUCUCAUCAGCAAUAUACAUAGAAACUCAUAGCACCAAUAACCCAUCAGCUACCACCUUGUUCCCAUCGCCCAAACCUCAAUCCAUCCUGACCUCCCCUCAAUCUCUUUUCUUCGAUCAUACCAAAGCAUAACUCGUCACCACAAUCUUCUCUCCUUCUCUCCCAACGACCACCAUGACCCUUUGCAAAAUCUUCUACACCCUACAAUAGAUCCCAGAUCAAAGCUCCUCUGUCAUCAUCCUCGUGCAUCACCACUGUUUCAUGUCACUAAACGACCGUCACGGUCACGGUGUCGCCAGACAUAGCCAUCGCCACCGUGUGUCUCUAGCCAUCAUCCUAGCCUUGCGACUGAAGCCACCUCAUCCACCCACCAUGGCACGAAACCUUGCUGAGUCGCCGAGGAGAGCCAUCGCAAAGACAUCGUUGCUCCUCUCUCCCUCCACCGGCAUUGGGUUAAGAUCUGGAUUUUUGGUGAUCCAUGGGGGCGUUGCUUGUACGACGGUUGUGGCUCCGUCAUGGGCUUGGCAAGUAAAUGUCCAUUUUCUUGAAAUUUACUUGAGUCCUACAUUGAUCGAUGGUCAUCGAACAACCUCUGGCUGUCGUUCAACGUUCUGUCAAGCUCCUUAUUGUCGUCAGUUUCUGCUCUUCAAGUUGCAGGCUUGCAGCCAUAGAAUUGUAGAAGGUGUAAGAAGAUUAUGAAGAAAGGUGAAAAAUAAAAUGACUUUUAUGUUCAAGAGGUCAGCUAUCUUCCCAAAAACGCUGAAUUUUGUUAUUGCAUUCAUGAGUUUCUACAUUGUAGGCAUGGCAGUGAUGAAGGAUAUACCUGACAACAAAGGAGAUAAAGCAUUUGGCAUCCAUUCAUUUUCAGCACGUUUCGGUAAAAAAACGGGUAUUUUAUGAUCAAGUGAAACAUCCCAACAAAUUUGGUUAUGCCCUCCUGUUAGCCCUUGGAUUUGACAGACUAAUCUUUGUUAGGUAUUUUGGAUUUGUGUCUCUUUUUUUGAAAUGGCUUUUGUGAUUGCCCUCACUAUGGGAGCAACAUCUUCUUUCUUGUGGAGUAAAAUUGUCACGGUUUUGGGAUUUGUUGUUCUUGCUUCAGUUCUCGGGUAUCAUGCCAAGUUUGUAGAUUUGGAAAGCAAACAUUCCAUAACAUCCUUCUGCUGGAAGGUAUUAGAAGUGGCGUACCUGCUCAUGCCAUUAACUAGAUGAAGAUGCAGAGGCAAAGUCAAAUUAAGAAUUAUGUUGCUCUUUUUGAUAUUGGUCAUGUUAUUUAAUUUUUCUUAUUUUGUUCAAGGUCACUUUAUUUGACAAUGAAUGAGUACGUGGUUUCCCUUUUAGGUAGGUAUGGAAAAUAAUGUGUAUGAAUUCCACCUCCACCACAGUAGAUAUAAAAUAUAUGCGAGAUAUAAUAAGAGCAUUUUUAUC